Molecule: ribosomal RNA, 200 nt
Filed under: uncultured eukaryote
Lineage: Eukaryota
Description: partial 18S ribosomal RNA
Rfam family: Eukaryotic small subunit ribosomal RNA
Source: RNAcentral
GCUCCAAUAGCGUAUAUUAAAGUUGUUGUGGUUAAAAAGCUCGUAGUUGGAUCUCGGCGGGCAGGAGUCGGUCCGAAUGCUUUCGGUACUGGCUUGUUUGUCCGUGUGUUGCCAGAGGCAGGCGGGUGCUCUUCGCCGAGUGUCCGUCUGUGCUGGCAGGUUUACUUUGAAAAAAUUAGAGUGCUCAAAGCAAGCUCAAA